Molecule: ribosomal RNA, 301 nt
Filed under: uncultured bacterium
Lineage: Bacteria
Description: partial 16S ribosomal RNA
Rfam family: Bacterial small subunit ribosomal RNA
Source: RNAcentral
CAGCAGCCGCGGGAAAACGUAUAACACAAGCGUUAUCCGGAUUUAUUGGGCGUAAAGCGCGUCUAGGUGGUUAUGUAAGUCUGAUGUGAAAAUGCAGGGCUCAACUCUGUAUUGCGUUGGAAACUGUGUAACUAGAGUACUGGAGAGGUAAGCGGAACUACAAGUGUAGAGGUGAAAUUCGUAGAUAUUUGUAGGAAUGCCGAUGGGGAAGCCAGCUUACUGGACAGAUACUGACGCUGAAGCGCGAAAGCGUGGGUAGCAAACAGGAUUAGAUACCCCAGUAGUCCCUGUCUCUUAUACC